GAUGAACGCUGGCGGCGUGCCUAAUACAUGCAAGUCGAGCGGACGGACGAGAAGCUUGCUGCUCUGAUGUUAGCGGCGGAGGGGUGAGUAACAUGUGGAUAACCUACCUAUAAGACUGGGAUAACUUCGGGAAACGGGAGCUAAUACCAGAGGAUAUUUUGAAGCGCAUGGGUCAAUAGUGAAAGACGGUCUUGCUGGCACUUAUAGAUGGAUCCGCGCUGCAUUAGCUAGUUGGUAAGCUAAAGGCUUACCAAGGCAACUAUGCAUAGCCGAAGUGAGAGGGUGAUCGGCCACACUGGAACUGAGACACGGACCAGACUCCUACGGGAGGCAGCAGUAGGGAAUCUUCCGCAAUGGGCGGAAGCAUGACGGAGUAGCGCGGAGUGAGUGAUGAAGGUCUUGGGAUCGUAAAACCCUGUUAUUAGUGAAAAACAUCUGUGGACUUAAAUGAGCAGAUCUUGACGGUACCUAAUAAGAAAGCCACGGCUAACUACGUG
RNAcentral lists this ribosomal RNA (497 nucleotides) under uncultured bacterium. Its description in RNAcentral is "partial 16S ribosomal RNA". It matches the Rfam family "Bacterial small subunit ribosomal RNA", at positions 28 to 507 of the family's 1533-position model. The record is from RNAcentral.